This 101-nucleotide small RNA is filed under the name Croceibacterium atlanticum. RNAcentral describes it as "Altererythrobacter atlanticus Repression of heat shock gene expression (ROSE) element". It matches the Rfam family "Repression of heat shock gene expression (ROSE) element". From Rfam's summary of the family: This family represents a 5' UTR cis-regulatory element found in heat shock mRNAs and is known as the ROSE (repression of heat shock gene expression) element. The ROSE element is a negative regulator of heat shock gene expression. The secondary structure is thought to be regulated by temperature. RNAcentral also lists the same sequence under 1 other name. Lineage: Bacteria; Pseudomonadati; Pseudomonadota; Alphaproteobacteria; Sphingomonadales; Erythrobacteraceae. The record is from Rfam by way of RNAcentral.
CCGGAUGCUGCUUUCGGGUCCGGUGGACAUAGAGAGCGCCGGCUCUCACUUCCGGCGUUUCUCAUGCCCAGAUUGCUCACAGGAGGAUUUGGAAAUGAGAA